This is a small nuclear RNA of Pipistrellus kuhlii (Kuhl's pipistrelle), 105 nucleotides long. The record is from RefSeq and is a predicted model, not a curated record. NCBI's taxonomy places the organism in Eukaryota, Metazoa, Chordata, Mammalia, Chiroptera, Vespertilionidae.
GUUUACUUCAGCUGCCCACAUAUUAAAAUUGGAACCAUGCUGAGAAGAUUAGCAUUUUCCCUGUGUUAGGAUGACAUGCAGCCUAGUGUAAUAUUUUUUUUAUAU